AUGUUGUUAAAUUGUUUACGUUUCAUGGUCUUCUCAUGCUUGAUUUGUUUUAUUCGUCAUGUUUAAGUAUCUAAGUUGCAUUCCACUAGAAUUAAUUAAGCCGGUCCCUACAAGUCUAUAACCCUAUAUAUUGAUAAGUUGACUACAACUUGCAAUUUAAUGGAUAUAACUAGCUAGGACAAUUCAUUUUGUAGUGUUUCUGUUGAAAGUUUUAUGUUACUUGUUUCAAUUUUUCAAGUCCAACUUAUAUAUUUUUGUACAAAUCCAUCAAUAUCAAUUAAUUUUAAGAUAAAAUUUAAUACAGUAUAAGUGUCAUUUAAUACAGUACAAAUCCAUCUAUAUAUAUAUAUAUAAAUUUCUAUUUUGUGGUCCCCUCUACAACAAUGUCAUUCCAAAACUCUGCUAUAAAAUGAGAAACUUUUUGUCGCACUACUAAAAUAAAAACUUUUUACGAUGCACUUUCAAAGUCGGUCGCAACAUGACCGUCGUAGUAUUAGGGGCGGUGACAUUUUUGUAAAUAUCUUAUAUAUUCAACAACGUUUUUGUUUAGGACCAUUUUCGUAUGCUAACGAGAAAAUUGACUAAGACGGUGUAUAUUAAACACGUUGUUGAAAUCACUAAAAACAAAGACGGGCUUUAAAAUGCACCGUCGUUAACCAUAUUUUAUAAAAGCUUCUUGUCCCGUGAGUGAGUGAGUUUUUGAGUGAACGAAAACUUCCGGCACUAGGUCUUCCUCGUGAGUGAGCUUCUGAGUGAACCUUCAAAAACUUCCUGCGCUCGCAGCACCUUCACACCUCUGAACGCGAAUCUCCCCCCUGAGCUUCGCGUGGCGUUUCGGUGCCUUUCUGCGAACCCAAAGGUCGUUGCACUGACACUGUUCACAAAGGAACUUCUAACUUCAUCACUUCCUCCCUCGGUUCAUAGGCUGGGUUCGGACCCUAGCUAGUUGUGUUUUGCGACAAGUAGAUUUAUCGCUUUCCAGGGUGGUUGCAAGUUACAGCCUCAAUUUUUGAAAAGGAAUACUUGAGAGUAAGUAGCCUUGUCUGUCAAAUACUCUCUAGAGGAAAACCUGGUGAGUUAUAUAACACAUGCUUUGAUCCAUUGUGAAAACUUAUAUGCUCAUUUUGAAUACUUUCUCACAUGAACCAUGAAAAUGUUGCAUGGCUAUUAGAUUUUUGUUUACUUUUCUAUUUAUUCAUUAUUAGGUGAUUGCCUCACUUUUCCAUGUUAAAGUGUAUUCAGGAAUGGCAUUUUUGUCUUGAUCUGUUUGCUCAUAUUAUUAAAAGGUGAUUGCAUUGAUUUUAUUUAUUUAGUAGAGCAUUGAUUGUA
Glycine soja is the source of this 1329-nucleotide long non-coding RNA. RefSeq lists it as uncharacterized. Lineage: Eukaryota; Viridiplantae; Streptophyta; Magnoliopsida; Fabales; Fabaceae. The record is from RefSeq and is a predicted model, not a curated record. The transcript has 3 exons.